AUUGCACCCACUUCAACACCAUAGAUAUUAAAAUUGGAACUAUACAGAGAAAUGACCCCUUGCAAAGAUGACAUGCAAAUUCAUGAAGCAUUCCAUAAUUUA
Rattus rattus (black rat) is the source of this 102-nucleotide small nuclear RNA. Lineage: Eukaryota; Metazoa; Chordata; Mammalia; Rodentia; Muridae. The record is from RefSeq and is a predicted model, not a curated record.